Molecule: small RNA, 429 nt
Filed under: Pseudomonas umsongensis
Lineage: Bacteria; Pseudomonadati; Pseudomonadota; Gammaproteobacteria; Pseudomonadales; Pseudomonadaceae
Description: sRNA P34
Rfam family: Pseudomonas sRNA P34
Source: RNAcentral
CCGCCCAAUGCGCCGCCCACACCUGCUUCGGUGGUGCCGCCAGCAGACGCGAAGCCACUGACCAGGCCAAGGGACAACAAGAGAAUCGAGGAGAACUUCAUAGAGGAACCUCAAGGGGAUGACGGCGCGAUCCUGAGGCUGUGUCAUGGUUGUGACAAUAGAAAUCCGACGAAUAACACGACUUGAGCACAUUUCUAUAAGUUGCUGUUUUUUGGGCGGAACUUAAGUGUUUUUCGCCGGUCUUUAGCUACUUCUCAAAGGCCGUUUUCAUAUGAAAACGGCCUUUUUUGUGGGCGAUUGGAAAGUACGGAUCGGAAGAGUUUGUUGAGUGGGCUACCGCCAUCGCUGCGUCAAGCUGACUUGGCCAUGAUCAACCCGGUUUCACUCGCCGCCUCCAGCCGGAUCGACACAAACUUCGACGUCGGCGUA